CGGGGCGCUGCUGAUUUUUAUUUUUAUUUUCGUUCUUUUUUUCCUCCCCCCCCGCCCUUUCAAGAGUUUCCUGGUUGCUUCUUGCAUUCAGAUGAGCUUAUCGUGAUUUUUUUUUUUUUUUCAAAUGUGAAGGUGCCCUGUUGGGAGUGAGCUAGCCAGGUUGGGAAGGAAGGAAACAGGGGCUUGAGGGUCUCUCCGGGCAUCCUGCACACGGGGUGGUGGGGGGGGGGGUGGAGCUGGGAAGUUAUUGUCAGGGAUUUUGCAAGGUCUUGUUUGCAGUUGAUGCAUCAAGGUCUGUCCCAGUACUUAUUGCAAUCUUGGAUGUGGAGAGCGCUGCUGGAUCUGGCUCAUUUAGGAAGUCAGAGUCCCUUUGGUUUAUGCUUCCAGGAAAUAGGAAAAGAGGCUUGGUGAGACACCUUAAUGGUUUCUGCCUCAGUCUUUUCAGAUUUAUAGACUAUCCAUAUGUUGCAAAUUAAAUAGCAGUUGAUGUUUUUCUCUUAGUCCUGAUUUUAAAAAAAUAUCCAAGAAGUAGAAGAUAGAAUAUAUAUCACAACAAAAGUUCCUUCAAACGAUAACAGCUGGGGCUAGGUAAGAUCUUAAAGGAGGCAUGAUUUAAACUGAAUUUGAAACAUUUUUUUUUUAAUAGCUGUAUAUUGAUGGAAAACAGAGGAAAUGGCAGAUGAAUAAAAACCAUAGUAAAUAAGAGCA
This 708-nucleotide long non-coding RNA is filed under the name Crocodylus porosus (Australian saltwater crocodile). Its description in RNAcentral is "lncRNA (ENSCPRG00005001489.1)". Lineage: Eukaryota; Metazoa; Chordata; Crocodylia; Crocodylidae. The record is from RNAcentral.